This 257-nucleotide long non-coding RNA is filed under the name Homo sapiens (human). Its description in RNAcentral is "HSALNT0407600". Lineage: Eukaryota; Metazoa; Chordata; Mammalia; Primates; Hominidae. The record is from RNAcentral.
GAAAAAACUCCCCUACUGUGAUAGAGGCUAGAGGGUGGUAAAGAGGAAGGCUUUACCCCAUAAAGACAAAGAAACUGGCUGAGGAGACAAGAGAAAGAAAGUAGCAGAAGAUGGGAAGGAAACAGACGGAGUCUCACUUGUGUUGCCAAGAGAGCUUGAGCAUCAACUGGCAGUGAGGAUGGCAGGAAAGCAACUGACUUAUCCCCUCUCACCAGACCUUCCAACUGUCUGCAACACUGGCAUUGCCACGUAUCCCG